CCUACGCAUUAUUUCUAAAUGUCGGAAAUGACCACAAAAUCGCAAUCCUCAAGUUUUCCAUACCUUUGUGGAAGAACCAGUUUCUAAACCUAUGACUUCAGCCACCACACCCAUGACCUCCCAGCCUACAGCUCCUUUGCUCACACCAGAGGCUGUUCAACAAAUGAUCUUCUCUGCUUUUUCUCUCUUGGUCUCACAGGAUCAUGUAUCAGGGAAGAUAAUCGCAAAGGGGCCUAAGUGUGGAUGACUCUUUCCUCUUCACUUUCAUGCACUAUAUAGGGAUUUAAGUAUAUUUUCCUUCUUUUAUUCUUCUGUCAAAAAUCAAUAUCAAUUGUGGCAUACCCGGUUAGGCCAUCCAAAUUCGAGGACCCUCCAUUCCAUGCUCAAUUCUAGGUUGAUAAAUAAUAAAAAUCAGAUAUCUAUUAAAGAAGUUUAAGUUGAUUGCGUUAGUUGCAAACUCGACAAGAGUAAAACUCUUCCAUUUCCAACCAAUCAAAUCCCUCUACUCAUUGUUUUCAGCUAAUCCGUAGUGAUGUUUGGGAAAUUUUUUCCGUUCUUUCUCAUGCAAAUUGCAAAUACUUUGUUACGUUCAUUGACGAUUACAACAGGUUUACGUAGAUAUUUUUUUUUUAGAAGCAAAUCUGAAGUUUUUUAUGCUUUUCAAAAAUUCUUGGAAUUGAUUGAGAUCCAAUUUUCCACCAACAUUCAAACUUUACGAUCUGAUUCAGGGGGGAAUACACAUCCAAAGAAUUUCAUAACUUUCUCCAAAAUUCUAGGUUGAAGCUCUGUCUAUUGCUGUCCAUUUGAUUAAUCUUCUUCCUUCAUCUACUAUAGCCAAGCAUUCCUCAUACUUUUGGCUACAUCAAUGUACACCUAAGUACAAUCAUCUUCGACCUUUUGGUUACGCUUGUUUUGUUUUUCGUCCUCCAAAUGAAUGCACCAAGCUUUUUGCACAAUAUGUGAAGUGUGCUUUUCUUGGCUAUGCUCCAAAUCAUAAAGGUUAUUUGUGUUAUAAUCCUUCAUCUAAUCAGUUUCGAAUUUCUUUGGAUGUGGUCUUUUUUUUAAAACCAAUAUUUUUUUCAUUUUCAUGUUAAUCAUUCUCCUCAGUCUCUCGUUUCACUUCCAGAUUUUAAGAAUGAGCCUCGUCCUUCUAAUACUAUUACACAGUUUAGACCUGGUUUUGUGUAUGAAAGAUGAAUGACGCGUGAUGAAUCUGUAGUUGAAGCACUUCUCGCAUCACCUCUAGUACUUGAAUCCAUCACAGUGCCUCCUCUUCGUCAGUCUACUGGCAAUUCUCAUCCUCCCAAACGGUAUGGAAACUCUCCUGAAAGGUACCCUCUUCCUCAUACCUCUUUAGUUGCUAUAUUAUCUUCCAUUUCUAUUCCAACUUCGUACUCACAAGCCAUAAAAUAUGAGUAUUGGCAAAAAGCUAUGCAUGCAAAAUUAAAUGCUCUGCAGAAAAAUGAUACUUGGGAUAUCAUCUCAUGCCUAGCCUCUGUUAGACCAUUGGUUGUAAAUGAGCUUAUUCUGUCAAACUCAACUCAAUGGAUCAUUAGACAAGUAUAAAGCUCAGUUGGUUGCUUUAGGCAAUCGUCAAGAAUAUGGUAUUGACUAUGAUGGGCCUUUGCUCUAGUAGCAAAAAUGAUGAUUGUAGUACACUUAUAGGUAUUGCUACUUCUAUGAAUUGGCCUCUUCACCAGAUGGAUGUCAAAAAUGCCUUUCUCCAUGAGGAUCUCAAAGAAGCCAUCCAUAUGCAACCUCUUCUUUGUGCAUUUCUAGUAUUGCUCCUUCAAAUGUUUGUCACUUGAAACAUUUUUUGUAUGGGCUGAAGCAAGCCCCAUGAGCUUAGCUUGAAAAAUUCAAGCAAACACUUAAGUUAGUAUGAUCAUUCUAUGUUUCUACAUAAAACUUCCAGAGGCAUUGUUAUUUUACUUGUCCAUGUGGACGACAUUAUUAUCGUUGGGACUAAUAGUGUUUUGAGUCAACAACUUCAAGCUUCCCUACAUACCUCAUUCCACAUGAAAAAUCUUGGACACCUCACUUAUUUUCUCGGACUUGAAGUUCACAAAGGUGCCAAAGGUAUAUUUUUCAAUUAGCACAAAUACAUCAAUGACAUCAUUCUCUUCGUUGGAUUACAAGAUUCUGUCCCUGUUGAUACUCCAAUGGAAGUCAAUGUCAAAUAUCAUCAAGAUGAGUAUGAGUUCCUUCUAGAUCGUAUCAACGAUUAGUUGGGAGCCUUGUCUACUUGACAAUUACUUGGCCCGAUAUUUCAUUUGUCAUUCACCUUAUGAGCUAAUUUAUGACUUCACCACAUCAUUUCCAUUUGACUGUCAUUCGAUGCAUCAUUCACUAUCUUCUUGGCUCUCAUUCUUGUGGUCUAUUUUUUCCAAUUGGUUCAAUUUUCAACUUGGUCACUUAUAGUGAUGUCAAUUGGGCUGGUUGCCCCGAUACAUGUUGCUUCCCCACUGGGUGGUGUAUAUACUUGAGUGAUGCGUUGAUUUCUUGGAAGUAUAAGAAACAAGAUCACAUCUCUAAAUUAUCGACGUAGGUUGAAUAACGCGCAAUGUCUUCAGCAUAUUCUAAGAUUACUUGGCUACAUGGUUUCCUCUCUGAACUUGGGUUUCCUCAAACUGAUCCUACUUCUCUCCAUGCAGAUAAAACUAGUGUCAUUCAGAUUGCAGCCAACCCAAUUUUCCACAAGUGCAUGAAACAUAUUGAAGUUGAUUGUCACUUAAUUCAGGAAGCCUUUGACAAACAUGUUAUUACUUUGCAACUAGAAAACUGUUGAUAUCCUCACCAAGGAACUUCCUCGCGCUCGGCAUCAGUUCUUUGUAAACAAAUUGAUGCUCCUUGACUCUUCAGCAUCAAUUUGAUGGAGGGUGUUAAAGAUAUUUAGGAAUCACAUUUAUUGUACAUACUGUAAUUAGAAAGAAUAUUCUUAGGCGAUUAUCUCUAUAACAUAUGCUUAAAUUAUGGAGCUUGAUUAUUGUAAAUAGUUUUAUAUAAGAAGGAAAUACUUAGAAAAUGGCACACACUUUUGACCAAAA
Molecule: long non-coding RNA, 3047 nt
Organism: Carya illinoinensis
Lineage: Eukaryota; Viridiplantae; Streptophyta; Magnoliopsida; Fagales; Juglandaceae
Exons: 2
Source: RefSeq, a predicted model, not a curated record